Molecule: long non-coding RNA, 565 nt
Filed under: Rattus norvegicus (Norway rat)
Lineage: Eukaryota; Metazoa; Chordata; Mammalia; Rodentia; Muridae
Description: long non-coding RNA NONRATT000055
Source: RNAcentral
CUUCAAUGCAGUGCAUUUCUAGAAACAGUUUGUCAAACAUAAAGGGAGAGAGCAAGAUCAUUCUCGGUCAUCGUCCUCUUCAGCAUCGCCUUCGUCACCCAGCUCCCGAGAAGAGAAAGAGAGUAAGAAAGAAAGAGAAGACGAGUUUAAAUCUCACCAUGAGAUGAAAGACUACUCAGGAUUUGCAGGAGUUAGCAGGCCACGAGGAACCUUUUUUCGGAUCAGAGGCAGAGGAAGAGCCCGAGGCGUUUUUGCUGGGACAAACCCUGGUCCAAACAACUCAAACUCCACUUUCCAAAAGAGACCGAAGGAAGAGGAGUGGGAUCCAGAGUAUACCCCAAAGAGCAAGAAGUACUUCUUGCACGAUGACAGAGAUGAUGGUGUGGAUUAUUGGGCCAAAAGAGGAAGAGGUCGUGGUACUUUUCAACGCGGCAGAGGGCGCUUUAAUUUCAAAAAAUCAGGUAGCAGUCCAAAAUGGACUCAUGACAAAUACCAAGGAGAUGGGAUUGUUGAGGAUGAAGAGGAGACCAUGGAAAAUAAUGAAGAGAAGAAGGAUAGGCGCAAA